Molecule: ribosomal RNA, 468 nt
Filed under: uncultured bacterium
Lineage: Bacteria
Description: partial 16S ribosomal RNA
Rfam family: Bacterial small subunit ribosomal RNA
Source: RNAcentral
GACGAACGCUGGCGGCGUGCUUAACACAUGCAAGUCGAACGGAAAGGCCCUGCUUUUGUGGUGUGCUCGAGUGGCGAACGGGUGAGUAACACGUGAGUAACCUGCCCUUGACUUUGGGAUAACUUCAGGAAACUGGGGCUAAUACCGGAUAGGAGCUCCUGCUGCAUGGUGGGGGUUGGAAAGUUUCGGCGGUUGGGGAUGGACUCGCGGCUUAUCAGCUUGUUGGUGGGGUAGUGGCUUACCAAGGCUUUGACGGGUAGCCGGCCUGGGAGGGUGACCGGCCACAUUGGGACUGAGAUACGGCCCAGCCUCCUCCGGGAGGCAGCAGUGGGGAAUAUUGCACAAUGGGCGGAAGCCUGAUGCAGCAACGCCGCGUGCGGGAUGACGGCCUUCGGGUUGUAACCCGCUUUCGCCUGUGACGAAGCGUGAGUGACGGUAAUGGGUAAAGAAGCACCGGCUAACUACGUG